RNAcentral lists this ribosomal RNA (623 nucleotides) under uncultured bacterium. Its description in RNAcentral is "bacterial SSU rRNA". It matches the Rfam family "Bacterial small subunit ribosomal RNA", at positions 91 to 749 of the family's 1533-position model. The record is from RNAcentral.
GGGAGUGGCAGACGGGUGAGUAACACGUGGGAACGUACCCUUUGGUUCGGGACAACUCUGGGAAACUGGAGCUAAUACCGGAUACGCCCUUUUGGGGAAAGGUUUACUGCCGAAGGAUCGGCCCGCGUCUGGUUAGCUAGUUGGUGGGGUAACGGCCUACCAAGGCGACGAUCAGUAGCUGGUCUGAGAGGAUGAUCAGCCACACUGGGACUGAGACACGGCCCAGACUCCUACGGGAGGCAGCAGUGGGGAAUAUUGGACAAUGGGCGCAAGCCUGAUCCAGCCAUGCCGCGUGAGUGAUGAAGGCCUUAGGGUUGUAAAGCUCUUUUAUCCGGGACGAUAAUGACGGUACCGGAGGAAUAAGCCCCGGCUAACUUCGUGCCAGCAGCCGCGGUAAUACGAAGGGGGCUAGCGUUGCUCGGAAUCACUGGGCGUAAAGGGCGCGUAGGCGGCGUUUUAAGUCGGGGGUGAAAGCCUGUGGCUCAACCACAGAAUGGCCUUCGAUACUGGGACGCUUGAGUCUGGUAGAGGUUGGUGGAACUGCGAGUGUAGAGGUGAAAUUCGUAGAUAUUCGCAAGAACACCGGUGGCGAAGGCGGCCAACUGGACCGGCACUGACGCUGA